This 121-nucleotide ribosomal RNA is filed under the name Providencia rettgeri. Its description in RNAcentral is "partial 16S ribosomal RNA". It matches the Rfam family "Bacterial small subunit ribosomal RNA", at positions 1 to 116 of the family's 1533-position model. Lineage: Bacteria; Pseudomonadati; Pseudomonadota; Gammaproteobacteria; Enterobacterales; Morganellaceae. The record is from RNAcentral.
UAAUUGAAGAGUUUGAUCAUGGCUCAGAUUGAACGCUGGCGGCAGGCCUAACACAUGCAAGUCGAGCGGUAACAGGGGAAGCUUGCUUCCCGCUGACGAGCGGCGGACGGGUGAGUAAUGU